CUGGCACUGCCCGCCGAGGCACCCGGAGGGUCCUGCCCAACGCCACGGUGUCACCACUGGAAAGGCUCUGGAAUAUCCGGACAUCCAGGCAGAGUUCUCCUGUGGUUCCUCACCUGUGGCAUUGGAAGAAUUCCCUGCAGCUCCAUCCUUGGGACUUCCAGGGGCCCGUGCAGGACUUGCUCCUUGUCCCUCAAUGAGAUAAAUUGUGUGAAACACAGAUCCAGGGCCUUGGGUCUGUGGCUCCUCUGUGCCUGGGGCUCCCAGCAGAGCACAGUUUAGCCAUACUGGCAUUGCCUGUUGUUAUCAUUUCCAGCAAGGGUUCCCAUUCAGCCUGGAGUCACUCCCCCUCCUGCUCCCAUUCUCCCAGUGCCAAUGCUGUUUGAGCAGUAGGAUACAGUCACAGAGAGCCCCCAGGAAAUUGCAGCUUCCUUCCCACCUCUCCUGGGCAAGGCAUGCACCAUCAGGCAAUGCCAGCCUUGGCUGGAUGGAUAAUUCCAAUUUUCCCCUCCUGUUGAUGCCAAACACCGUGGCAGUGGCAGCUGCUGAUGCCAAUGCAAUGACCCACAUUCUGAGCUGGCAGCUCUUUCCCUCCCUUAGUCAGUCUUCCAGAAGAUGGGUGAUGUACAGACAGACUCCAAGCACUGUCUGAGCAGGUCCAUGAGGGCACCAGUGUGCCAGCAAAAAGCAUCAGCCAUUGGCAUCACGUCACCAGCCUUGGCACACCUGAUGGAUGUGCCCAGCAAUAGGAACAGCUUGCCUGCAUGGGCCUUUUUGCGUGAUGGUAAUAGUUAAAAACAGUUCUAAGCAAAGCGUGUAAAAUCUUUAAAUCUUUAACAAAUCUCUCAUAAUUCCCAGCUAAGUAGAUUAAAGCUGACUGCAGGCUUUAAAAGGAAUCAAGCUGAUCACUUGCAGGACAGAGAAAAUAAAUAAAAUUAAAACAAUCACAGUGUAAAUGUGCAGCUCCCAUGUUCCUGGUGCAGAUAAAAUUAGGGUGGCAGGAUGGCAACCAGACCACUGGUCCUGGGUUUGAUGGAGGCAAAGACUCAGUGAGAUGAGGCAAUACAGCACAAUUCUGUAUCAAAAGAAUUACUCAAAAGCAUCAAAGAUGCUGCAGGCAGAUUUUAUCAGGAUGCUGCACACCUGGGGAACAAAGUGGUGCUGCGUGGACAGCUUCUUCAGCAAAACAGGACAGGCUGCUGAAUUCCCAGGCAGCAAUCAGGAUCCUUGUUAAGAUUCAUCCUGGUGUUAAGGUCCCGAGCAUCAGACCAGUUUGUGGCUCUGGUACUCUCUUCACAGUGCUCACUGCAGCUGAUGUGUGUUUGUAACGAUAGCUCGGAUUGGAAAUUAUAUGGUUAAAUAUCUUGGCUCAGUGGAAUUCAGCACUUGGACUUUCCUUCAGUGACUGAAGGAGCAGAUUUUGUAGGAUUCGGCUCCUAUCUGGAGAGAUCUGGUGUUUCUCUUCCUUAGAACCACGUGUUCCUUUUUUAAAUGUGUAUUUCGGUAUAAGGUAGAGGGGCAUGGCUAGCUGCAGCUGUCACGUAGAGUGAAAGCCGCCAGCCAAGGGCAGCAGUGCUGCUGCAGGGCAUCCCUGCGGUGCCCGUCAGUGCCAGCUGCUGCUGCCCUGCCUGCUCGCACCGUGCCUGUGGCUCCUGCUGCCCAGGCACUCUGCCACCCCAGCCCAGUGGUGCCCACUCCCUUUGCCAGCCCAGGGAUUCUGUUUGCUUGGCUUUGCCACUGUCACUGUGCUGUCCCCAGACCCAGCACUGGAACUUUCUGCUCCAGUACCUACAGAUGUGUCUCAAAGGCAGCACCAUGAUGAUCCCUGCUAAAAACUGCAGCAGGAUCUCCUGCUGCUGCCAUCAUACACUUGCAGGAAGCACUGGUGUUUGAUCCUGAAGAUCUGGGACAGCAGCAGGUUCUGGGGGUUUGGUGGUGAGCCACAGAAACAGGUGAUGCAGGACAAAUCUUCUGAAGGCACAAAGGCUGCUCAAACUCACCAGCAUAUGCCCAGAGAAGGGGGAUUUGGCUCUCCCCCACUUUGGCAGGUGGUGUUUGGCUCUUUGAGAGCAGCUGAGAUUCGGGAGGGUUUUGCAAACUGGAUGGGUGGUCAUGGCCCUUGUCCCUCUCCCAUCCCGUGAGAUGAGCAGAACAGACCUGGCACAGGUGACUCAGCUGGGCCCUCACUGCUCAGAGAGCUUUAAUGGCAGAAGGACGAAGCUGAAGUUUCCAAAGCUGCCCCAGAAAAGGGCUCCUAAAAUGGUGACACUUCUGUUCUAAUGAAGUUAUGCUUCACCUGUUCAGGAAGGAGAUGGCUCAAAACAAGGAUGGGAGGGUGCCCUGCCUUAGCCCAACUCUGCCAAAAUGACAAGAGGUUCAUGUUGUUGCUCUCAGGUGACCAUAGAAUAUUGUACUGCUGUACUGAGGUGACAUCUGCUCCCCUUCCUCCCAAACAGGCAGCUUCCUCACCCUACAGACUGCCCCAGGGCACAAUAAGUAGGUUAAUGCUUGCUUUAGGGUUAGCCUCAGGGUGAGGGUUCCCUGCAGGAAUAGCAGAGUGAGGUUUCCUCUGUGCCUGUGUGAGUUCAUGUGUAGGGAUGCCUCCAAGGCAAAUGAAUUCCUACUGCUCCCAUUUCAUCACUGUGUGCCUCUUCCUCCUUCCUUGGGAUGGUGAUGUUCCUUGGGAUGACAGAGCUUUGAUUUUAGUUCUGCCAGGCUCAUAUGAUUUUUCCAUUCGUCAUUUGUUCUUCCAUUUCCCUGCUUCCAGUCCUCGUUCUGGCCAGGCAGGAGUGGGAGCUCCAAUGGUUGUGUUGGCCAUGCCUCAUGCUUCUCAUGCCUGUUUCUUCUAUGGCCAGACUGACUCCCAAAAAGGAAAACAAACCAAAACGUGUCAGUGGUUUUGAAUUACAAAUCUGGGUGUUCAAAAUGCAUGAAAUGAGAAAUUUCGGGCGCUUACUGCAACAUGAAUCCACCUGUGUUGGACAUGAGUGGCAUUUCCUAUUUAUGCUCAGACUCUUGAAUACAAAGUUAAAACAGAUGUCAAGGCAGCUGUGGACGGAGAAAACAGCAUCAGGUUGGAGAAGAGGGAGGGUUUGGUGUGUUCAUCAUUACAGACUUUGGUUGUGGCAAAUGAAAGUUAAAGAGGCGCCUAGAACCAGGUAUUCAAACUUAAUUUCCUAUUUGUAUAGUAAUGUGUGAAGUUCCUGUGUUUACUUUGCAUGUAAAUAUUGACUUAUAUUGUUACAUAAAAGUAGUAUUGACAUUU
Molecule: non-coding RNA, 3262 nt
Organism: Zonotrichia albicollis (white-throated sparrow)
Lineage: Eukaryota; Metazoa; Chordata; Aves; Passeriformes; Passerellidae
Source: RefSeq, a predicted model, not a curated record